UACGUAGGGUGCGAGCGUUAUCCGGAAUCAUUGGGCGUAAAGAGCUCGUAGGCGGUUCAGCAAGUCGGCUGUGAAAGUCCGAGGCUCAACCUCGGAAAUGCAGUCGAUACUGCUGUGACUCGAGUCCGGUAGAGGAGAAUGGAAUUCCCGGUGUAGCGGUGAAAUGCGCAGAUAUCGGGAGGAACACCAGUAGCGAAGGCGGUUCUCUGGGCCGGCACUGACGCUGAGGAGCGAAAGCGUGGGGAGCAAACAGG
RNAcentral lists this ribosomal RNA (254 nucleotides) under uncultured bacterium. RNAcentral describes it as "partial 16S ribosomal RNA". It matches the Rfam family "Bacterial small subunit ribosomal RNA", at positions 524 to 776 of the family's 1533-position model. The record is from RNAcentral.